RNAcentral lists this ribosomal RNA (456 nucleotides) under Triticum aestivum (bread wheat). RNAcentral's name for it is "partial small subunit ribosomal RNA". The record is from RNAcentral. Lineage: Eukaryota; Viridiplantae; Streptophyta; Magnoliopsida; Poales; Poaceae.
AUGAUCGAGCAUGGGAUUUUCCCUUUGGUCAUGGACGAGAGUGAUGAUGUGCCAUCUUCGGCCUUCAUCCACGACGAGAGAGAUGAUGUGCCAUCUUCGGCCUUCACCCACGGUGACGACUACGAGAUGGUUGAGCAUGGGAUCUUCCCUUCGACCACGGCGACGUAUGAUGACAUGAGUGACUUGUGCCACCAUAUUGAGAGUGAGAGUGACUUCACCACUAGCCCCAUAUAUGACGAGUUGCCCCAAUUCCCAUGUGAGGAGAGCCACCACCACCACCACUUGAGUGAUUUGAGUGACUCCACCAUAUGUGACAUUGAGUGCACCUACCUUGAGGGAGUGAGUGAGCCACCACCACAUAGAGAGAGUGAGGUAGUUGAUAGGGCAUGCGAGGCCAUUUCGAUUUCUAACUACCUCUAUUGUGUCUUCUCAUUUGGUGCUAGGUCCCAUAUAUGA